AAAUUGAAGAGUUUGAUCAUGGCUCAGAUUGAACGCUGGCGGCAGGCCUAACACAUGCAAGUCGAACGGUAACAGGAAGCAGCUUGCUGCUUCGCUGACGAGUGGCGGACGGGUGAGUAAUGUCUGGGAAACUGCCUGAUGGAGGGGGAUAACUACUGGAAACGGUGGCUAAUACCGCAU
This 180-nucleotide ribosomal RNA is filed under the name Salmonella enterica subsp. enterica serovar Muenchen. Its description in RNAcentral is "partial 16S ribosomal RNA". It matches the Rfam family "Bacterial small subunit ribosomal RNA", at positions 1 to 174 of the family's 1533-position model. Lineage: Bacteria; Pseudomonadati; Pseudomonadota; Gammaproteobacteria; Enterobacterales; Enterobacteriaceae. RNAcentral also lists the same sequence under 20 other names. The record is from RNAcentral.